GUGCUUGCUUCGGCAGCACAUACGGUAAAAACUGGAAGGAUACAGAGAAGUUUAGCAUGGCCCCUGUGCAAGGAUGGCACGCAAAUUCAUGAAGUGUUCCAUAUUUUU
Molecule: small nuclear RNA, 108 nt
Organism: Manis pentadactyla (Chinese pangolin)
Lineage: Eukaryota; Metazoa; Chordata; Mammalia; Pholidota; Manidae
Source: RefSeq, a predicted model, not a curated record